GCGCAUGCGGCCGAGUGCGGGACUGGGGCUCCUGGCUGUGGGUGUGGUACCGAGGCUUCAGCGGGUGCCGCCCGCCUAGAGGGAGUGGAGCGGGAGACAGGAGACAUCAAUAUAUGUAAGAUGAACGUUGGUUCCCUCGGGAAAGGCGGGACAACUCGAAGCAGGGAGGGGGCUUCCAGGUCACAGAGAGCCUACGACUAGAUUUGCAUCUUUACGUCCUGCGCGGAGGCUGCUACACACAUGCAGAAGUCAUGCUGGUGGCCUGGACAGUGAAGGGAGAGAAGUGGAUUUGGGAGACAUUUAGGAGAUGGCACCAAAAGCGAAGGAAGCUCCUGCUCAUCCUAAAGCCGAAGCCAAAGCGAAGGCUUUAAAGGCCAAGAAGGCAGUGUUGAAAGGUGUCCGCAGCCACACGCAAAAAAGAAGAUCCGCAUGUCACUCACCUUCAGGCGGCCCAAGACACUGCGACUCCGGAGGCAGCCCAGAUAUCCUCGGAAGAGCACCCCCAGGAGAAACAAGCUUGGCCACUAUGCUAUCAUCAAGUUUCCGCUGGCCACUGAGUCGGCCGUGAAGAAGAUAGAAGAAAACAACACGCUUGUGUUCACUGUGGAUGUUAAAGCCAACAAGCACCAGAUCAGACAGGCUGUGAAGAAGCUCUAUGACAGUGAUGUGGCCAAGGUCACCACCCUGAUUUGUCCUGAUAAGGAGAACAAGGCAUAUGUUCGACUUGCUCCUGAUUAUGAUGCUUUCGAUGUUGUAACAAAAUUGGGAUCACCUAAACUGAGUCCAGCUGGCUAACUCUAAAUAUAUGUGUAUCUUUUCAGCAUAAAAAAAUAAUGUUUUUCAUAAGAAUGACAACUUAAUUAGAAUCAAAUCUAUAAGCUUUAAGAUUUUACGUUUCUAGUAAGUAUAAUAUUAGCUUAUUUGACUAGAACUCAAGCAGAAUAGGAAUUUAUGCUUGUUUUAUAUUCAAUAAUGAUAAUUUUGAAGAUAUAGUUGUUUUAUUACACCAAAAAUACUAUAUUAAUCUUAUUUAACUAAGUUUUAUCCAAAUCAUGUUAACUUAAGAAACAUUUGAUCAGUUCCUAUAUUUCUAGGAGUUUGGUGAAUAUUUAUUUAUAAAUGCUUAUUUUUUUC
Molecule: long non-coding RNA, 1134 nt
Organism: Homo sapiens (human)
Lineage: Eukaryota; Metazoa; Chordata; Mammalia; Primates; Hominidae
Gene: RPL23AP7
Product: ribosomal protein L23a pseudogene 7
Source: Ensembl